GAUGAACGCUGGCGGCGUGCUUAACACAUGCAAGUCGAGCGAGGGAGUUCUUCGGAACAAUCUAGCGGCGGACGGGUGAGUAACACGUGGGCAACCUGCCUCAUAGAGGGGAAUAGCCUUCCGAAAGGAAGAUUAAUACCGCAUAACAUCGUUGAAGGGCAUCCUUCGAUGAUCAAAGGAGCAAUCCGCUAUGAGAUGGGCCCGCGGCGCAUUAGCUAGUUGGUGAGGUAACGGCUCACCAAGGCGACGAUGCGUAGCCGACCUGAGAGGGUGAUCGGCCACAUUGGGACUGAGACACGGCCCAGACUCCUACGGGAGGCAGCAGUGGGGAAUAUUGCACAAUGGGGGAAACCCUGAUGCAGCAACGCCGCGUGAGUGAUGACGGCCUUCGGGUUGUAAAGCUCUGUCUUUGGGGACGAUAAUGACGGUACCCAAGGAGGAAGUCACGGCUAACUACGUGCCAGCAGCCGCGGUAA
RNAcentral lists this ribosomal RNA (476 nucleotides) under uncultured bacterium. RNAcentral describes it as "partial 16S ribosomal RNA". It matches the Rfam family "Bacterial small subunit ribosomal RNA", at positions 28 to 523 of the family's 1533-position model. The record is from RNAcentral.